Molecule: transfer RNA, 53 nt
Filed under: Ophiogomphus cecilia
Lineage: Eukaryota; Metazoa; Arthropoda; Insecta; Odonata; Gomphidae
Description: tRNA-Val
Source: RNAcentral
UAAUCAAAUUAGAGCUUGAUAGAAAGCAUUUCAUUUACACUGAAAUUUUUUAC